AUUUUUAGGAAUGAAAUUGUAUGUUCAUUGUAAUUUUUUUUCCUCUAGUAAAAUGUGAUUGUAACUUUAUUUAACUACACAAUAGUGUACGUGGAGCUUGUGAACACUUUGAGUCUAUACCACACCUGUCACCUGUUGUCCUAAUUGAUAAGUGAGUCUAAAUAAAGAGGUUUUAAGCUGGUCCAAGGCUGAGUUAUGGUGUGCAGCAAGCCCUUUCUUCUUUUGUUUGAUUCUGAGCCACCGUAAGAUGACAGUGCGAGAUACUCAUGGAGUGAGCACAACCCAUCCCUGAGGCACCACUGCUUCAUAUGUCUCUCACUUACGUGUACGAGAGUUACAUAUGUCUCUGCGCAAAAUCUCGCUAUUGCAUCUGCUCAAUUCACACAACUUAAUAGCCUACUGCUUUUUCCAAGCAGCGGUUCAUACGCCAUGUCCCCUCACCUCUAGCCGUCCCCGUCUCUUAGACACACAAGGCAACGCAGAGAGAGGUUCCCGCACUGUGAGCUGACGCUCAGAAACUUCAGCUUCAGUAUCUGAAGAUGAAGAUGAGGGUCCUUUCAGUGGCUGCUCCACUGAGAUCUAUUGUGUGUCCUGAGUAAUUCAGGCAGGCAGGGAGGAGCGACCGGGGGAGAUACUGUACGAGGAAGUGCAAAGUGCUGGCAGGUCCUCCACUGUCCUGCGUGGUUCGCAUUCGAACAAACAGCCAAGUGGGAGGAAACAAAAAUCCUGUCAAACUUGCUCCGCGACAAGGAGGUAUGAAGGACAUAAAGACAGAGACAAAACAAAAUUUGAGUUUCUUUAUUUGACUCAUAGCUCAUGGCAAGUUUCGUCUGAGUUCAAACAUAUGACUUAAACAUGGUCUGUGGAGAGAAUGAACUGUGUUAAUUGUCUGUUUGCUUAAAGACUCUCUGGCAUCAGCGUUAUCUGUUUAAAUAAAAUGUGUUGG
Molecule: long non-coding RNA, 946 nt
Organism: Xiphias gladius (swordfish)
Lineage: Eukaryota; Metazoa; Chordata; Actinopteri; Istiophoriformes; Xiphiidae
Exons: 3
Source: RefSeq, a predicted model, not a curated record